RNAcentral lists this ribosomal RNA (497 nucleotides) under uncultured bacterium. Its description in RNAcentral is "partial 16S ribosomal RNA". It matches the Rfam family "Bacterial small subunit ribosomal RNA", at positions 28 to 507 of the family's 1533-position model. The record is from RNAcentral.
GAUGAACGCUGGCGGCGUGCCUAAUACAUGCAAGUCGAGCGAACGGACGAAAAGCUUGCUUCUCUGAUGUUAGCGGCGGACGGGUGAGUAACACGUGGAUAACCUGCCUAUAAGACUGGGAUAACUUCGGGAAACCGUAGCUAAUACCGGAUAAUAUUUUGAACCGCAUGGUUCAAAAGUGAAAGACGGUCUUGCUGUCACUUAUAGAUGGAUCCGCGCUGCAUUAGCUAGUUGGUAAGGUAACGGCUUACCAAGGCAACGAUGCAUAGCCGACCUGAGAGGGUGAUCGGCCACACUGGAACUGAGACACGGUCCAGACUCCUACGGGAGGCAGCAGUAGGGAAUCUUCCGCAAUGGGCGAAAGCCUGACGGAGCAACGCCGCGUGAGUGAUGAAGGUCUUCGGAUCGUAAAACCCUGUUAUUAGGGAAGAACAUAUGUGUAAGUAACUGUGCACAUCUUGACGGUACCUAAUCAGAAAGCCACGGCUAACUACGUG